GGGACAUAUGAAAUUUCAGCCUCAUCAACCCUUUGUGACAUACCUCAACUGUUGCUUCGGCGGGUAGGCGUCCCCUAAAAAGGACGUCUCCCGGCCCUCUCCCGUCCGCGGGUGGGGCGCCCGCCGGAGGAUAACCAAACUCUGAUUUAACGACGUUUCUUCUGAGUGACACAAGCAAAUAAUCAAAACUUUUAACAACGGAUCUCUUGGUUCUGGCAUCGAUGAAGAACGCAGCGAAAUGCGAUAAGUAAUGUGAAUUGCAGAAUUCAGUGAAUCAUCGAAUCUUUGAACGCACAUUGCGCCCGCCAGCAUUCUGGCGGGCAUGCCUGUUCGAGCGUCAUUUCAACCCUCAAGCUCUGCUUGGUGUUGGGGCUCUACGGUUGACGUAGGCCCUUAAAGGUAGUGGCGGACCCUCUCGGAGCCUCCUUUGCGUAGUAACAUUUCGUCUCGCAUUGGGAUUCGGAGGGACUCUAGCCGUAAAACCCCCAAUUUUACUAAGGUUGACCUCGGAUCAGGUAGGAAUACCCGCUGAACUUAAGCAUAUCAAUAAGGCGGAGGAA
RNAcentral lists this ribosomal RNA (560 nucleotides) under Colletotrichum musae. RNAcentral's name for it is "eukaryotic LSU rRNA". The stretch from base 187 to 340 matches the Rfam family "5.8S ribosomal RNA". The record is from RNAcentral. Lineage: Eukaryota; Fungi; Ascomycota; Sordariomycetes; Glomerellales; Glomerellaceae.